Molecule: ribosomal RNA, 253 nt
Filed under: uncultured bacterium
Lineage: Bacteria
Description: partial 16S ribosomal RNA
Rfam family: Bacterial small subunit ribosomal RNA
Source: RNAcentral
GACGUAGGGCGCGAGCGUUGUCCGGAAUUAUUGGGCGUAAAGAGCUCGUAGGCGGCUUGUCACGUCGGGUGUGAAAGCCCGGGGCUUAACCCCGGGUCUGCAUUCGAUACGGGCUAGCUAGAGUGUGGUAGGGGAGAUCGGAAUUCCUGGUGUAGCGGUGAAAUGCGCAGAUAUCAGGAGGAACACCGGUGGCGAAGGCGGAUCUCUGGGCCAUUACUGACGCUGAGGAGCGAAAGCGUGGGGAGCGAACAGG